Molecule: long non-coding RNA, 984 nt
Organism: Ctenopharyngodon idella (grass carp)
Lineage: Eukaryota; Metazoa; Chordata; Actinopteri; Cypriniformes; Xenocyprididae
Exons: 3
Source: RefSeq, a predicted model, not a curated record
UUACCACAGUGUCUCCAGUUUACAGCGAGGAUCCUCCAGUACAGCAGAGAGCAGAUGAACUGAAUCUCCUAGUUUAUUCUCAGACAGAUUCAGUUGUCUCAGGUGUGAGGGGUUUGAUCUCAGAGCUGAAGCCAGAGCAGCACAACCUUCAUCUGUGACUCCACAAUCCCUCAACCUGUAGAGAACAAUGACACACUCUUCACUCUCUCAGUUCAGAUCAACAGGUACAAGUCACAAUUCUACACAUUAAACAUGUCUAAUAUAUGUCUUAAAUAUAUUAAUUUGUUGUUUGUUAAUUAUUGUAUGAUCCACUGAUUUUGUGGUGAAGGCUCAAAACAAAAUCAACCUUUUUCAAUGAUUUCAGAAAAAGUACAAAAUAAGCAAAGAGAGGAUCAGGUUGUCAUGUUUUGUCUGUUCAUGUGGUUCUUUGUAUUUAGUUUCUUUGUUUGUCCCUGUUCAUUUGUUACCUUGGUUACUCAUUUGUUCAUUGUUCACACCUGUUCCUUGUUUUACCCAUCAUUUUGUAAGUGUAUUUAUAGCCCAGUGUUUCAGUUCCUGGUUGUUCAUUCUUCUUGUUGUUUUGAUGGUUUGUUUCUUGGUUCUCUUUCAUUACUCUUCUCCAGUUCUCUGUUAUAUUGAGUUUGUUUGGUUUUUGUACACUGUAAAUGAUUUUUGUUGUUUUCACAGUAAUAUUACUGUAUUCUCAACAGUUCUUUACUGUAGAAUCUGUGUACAGUAUGUUGAUGUAGAUUUUGUUUUCACAGUAUUAUCACUGUAUUUUCAACAGUUUCGUACUGUAUGAGCUGCAGUAUGUUACUGUAGAUUUUCAAUGCAUUCUGGGAAAAUAGUAGCCUACUGUAAAUCUAAAUACAGUACAAAAUGACCUCAAAAAACAACCACACGUCCUCACACAACGGCUCUGUGACAGACUCAUCGUGAAGAUGAAAGCACACAAGAGUAUGGUGGGUUAACUAAUUUUUUAGA